CCUACGGGUGGCAGCAGUGGGGAAUAUUGCACAAUGGGGGAAACCCUGAUGCAGCGACGCCGCGUGAGUGAAGAAGGAAUUCGGUAUGUAAAGCUCUAUCAGUAGGGAAGAAAAUGACGAUACUUGAGUAAGAAGCACCGGCUAACUACGUGCCAGCAGCCGCGGUAAUACGUAGGGGGCAAGCGUUAACCGGAUUUACUGGGUGUAAAGUGAUUGAAGGCGGCUGUGCAAGUCCGGGGUGAAAGGCGGGGGCUUAACCCCGGAACUGCUUUGGAAACUGGACGGCUGGAGUGCUGGAGAGGUAGGUGGAAGUCCUGGUGUAGCGGUGAAAUGCGUAGAUAUGAGGAGGAACACCGGUGGCGAAGGCGGCUUACUGGACUGUGACUGACGUUGAGGCUCGAAAGCGUGGGGAGCAAACAGGAUUAGAUACCCUAGUAGUC
Molecule: ribosomal RNA, 440 nt
Filed under: uncultured bacterium
Lineage: Bacteria
Description: partial 16S ribosomal RNA
Rfam family: Bacterial small subunit ribosomal RNA
Source: RNAcentral